UGUUCUGCAUAAUAGAUGGUCCCUGAUCGAUUAGGGUUUUCAUUUUUGUUGUUCUUCAUUCAAACAUGGAUUCUUUUGGGCCGUAUUCGUAGAUACGAUACUUUUGAUUUAUCCAUGUUAAUAAUCUUCUUGGUUUUUGAUUUAUCCAUGUUAAUAAUCUUCUUGGAUCUGUUGGCAGGUCCGCAAAUCGAGCUGCUUGGAAUUUCCCAAUGCAAAAUUAGCUGGAAAACCAGCUAAUUGAUUCCCCUCUCUGAAUAUUAGGUGACGACAGCUAAUAAUUGCGGUGGAAUACUGAUAACUAAUGAGUGGUGGUUAAUAGUGACGGUGGUCAAUAUAUAGUGGUGCACAAUGACGGGGAUUGCUGGCUAUAAUGGUGGUUGGUGGUGAUAAUUGUAAAUGGUGGUUAAUGUGACGAUGACUAAUUGUGUUGAUUGAUGAUAAUGAUGGUUGUGGCUGAG
Lycium ferocissimum is the source of this 458-nucleotide long non-coding RNA. RefSeq lists it as uncharacterized. NCBI's taxonomy places the organism in Eukaryota, Viridiplantae, Streptophyta, Magnoliopsida, Solanales, Solanaceae. The transcript is spliced from 2 exons. The record is from RefSeq and is a predicted model, not a curated record.